ACAUGCAAGUAGAACGCUGAAGAGAGGAGCUUGCUCUUCUUGGAUGAGUUGCGAACGGGUGAGUAAUACAUAGGUAACCUGCCUUCUAGCGGGGGAUAACUAUUGGAAACGAUAGCUAAUACCGCAUAACAAUGGAUGACACAUGUCAUUUAUUUGAAAGGGGCAAUUGCUCCACUACAAGAUGGACCUGCGUUGUAUUAGCUAGUAGGUGAGGUAACGGCUCACCUAGGCGACGAUACAUAGCCGACCUGAGAGGGUGACCGGCCACACUGGGACUGAGACACGGCCCAGACUCCUACGGGAGGCAGCAGUAGGGAAUCUUCGGCAAUGGGGGCAACCCUGACCGAGCAACGCCGCGUGAGUGAAGAAGGUUUUCGGAUCGUAAAGCUCUGUUGUAAGUCAAGAACGAGUGUGAGAGUGGAAAGUUCACACUGUGACGGUAGCUUACCAGAAAGGGACGGCUAACUACGUGCCAGCAGCCGCGGUAAUACGUAGGUCCCGAGCGUUGUCCGGAUUUAUUGGGCGUAAAGCGAGCGCAGGCGGUUUGAUAAGUCUGAAGUUAAAGGCUGUGGCUCAACCAUAGUUCGCUUUGGAAACUGUCAAACUUGAGUGCAGAAGGGGAGAGUGGAAUUCCAUGUGUAGCGGUGAAAUGCGUAGAUAUAUGGAGGAACACCGGUGGCGAAAGCGGCUCUCUGGUCUGUAACUGACGCUGAGGCUCGAAAGCGUGGGGAGCGAACAGGAUUAGAUACCCUGGUAGUCCACGCCGUAAACGAUGAGUGCUAGGUGUUGGAUCCUUUCCGGGAUUCAGUGCCGCAGCUAACGCAUUAAGCACUCCGCCUGGGGAGUACGACCGCAAGGUUGAAACUCAAAGGAAUUGAC
RNAcentral lists this ribosomal RNA (879 nucleotides) under human gut metagenome. Its description in RNAcentral is "bacterial SSU rRNA". It matches the Rfam family "Bacterial small subunit ribosomal RNA", at positions 53 to 914 of the family's 1533-position model. The record is from RNAcentral.